RNAcentral lists this ribosomal RNA (253 nucleotides) under uncultured bacterium. Its description in RNAcentral is "partial 16S ribosomal RNA". It matches the Rfam family "Bacterial small subunit ribosomal RNA", at positions 524 to 776 of the family's 1533-position model. The record is from RNAcentral.
UACGUAGGGACCAAGCGUUGUUCGGAUUUACUGGGCGUAAAGGGCGCGUAGGCGGCUUGACAAGUCACUUGUGAAAUCUCUGAGCUUAACUCAGAACGGCCAAGUGAUACUGCAGUGCUAGAGUGCAGAAGGGGCAAUCGGAAUUCUUGGUGUAGCGGUGAAAUGCGUAGAUAUCAAGAGGAACACCUGAGGUGAAGACGGGUUGCUAGGCUGACACUGACGCUGAGGCGCGAAAGCCAGGGGAGCAAACGGG